Molecule: ribosomal RNA, 253 nt
Filed under: uncultured bacterium
Lineage: Bacteria
Description: partial 16S ribosomal RNA
Rfam family: Bacterial small subunit ribosomal RNA
Source: RNAcentral
UACGUACCGUCCAAACGUUAUUCGGAAUCACUGGGCUUAAGGAGUUCGUAGGCGGCCCAGAAAGUUGGGUGUGAAAUCCCUCGGCUCAACCGAGGAAUUGCGCUCAAAACUACUGGGCUAGAGGGAGAUAGAGGUGAGCGGAACUGAUGGUGGAGCGGUGAAAUGCGUUGAUAUCAUCAGGAACACCGGAGGCGAAGGCGGCUCACUGGGUCUUUCCUGACGCUGAGGAACGAAAGCUAGGGGAGCGAACGGG